This 456-nucleotide ribosomal RNA is filed under the name Spiroplasma endosymbiont of Heliconius melpomene amaryllis. RNAcentral describes it as "bacterial SSU rRNA". It matches the Rfam family "Bacterial small subunit ribosomal RNA", at positions 45 to 501 of the family's 1533-position model. Lineage: Bacteria; Bacillati; Mycoplasmatota; Mollicutes; Entomoplasmatales; Spiroplasmataceae. The record is from RNAcentral.
AGCGAUCUAUCUGCAGUCGACGGGGUGCUUGCACCCAGUGGCGAACGGGUGAGUAACACGUAUCUUAUCUACCUUUUAGUGGGGGAUAACAGUUGGAAACGACUGCUAAUACCGCAUACGACAUCAUUAUCGCAUGAGAAGAUGUUGAAAGGCCCGUUUGGGUCGCUAGAAGAUGAGGAUGCGGCGUAUUAGCUAGUAGGUGGGGUAAAGGCCCACCUAGGCGAUGAUACGUAGCCGAACUGAGAGGUUGAUCGGCCACAUUGGGACUGAGAUACGGCCCAGACUCCUACGGGAGGCAGCAGUAGGGAAUUUUUCACAAUGGGCGAAAGCCUGAUGAAGCAAUGCCGCGUGAGUGAUGACGGUCUUCGGAUUGUAAAGCUCUGUUGUAAGGGAAGAACAGCUAGAAGAGGAAAUGCUUUUAGUUUGACGGUACCUUACCAGAAAGCCACGGCUAAA